GGAUCAGUCCCAGCCAUUACUCACAUAUGUAGAAAUUAAGAGCUCUGUGCAAAGUGCUUGAUAGAACUCUGCAAAGUGCUUUUCUUGAUGAACUCAAUUAUAGGCACCAGAGGUUGAAAUGUUAAGUCUAAAAACCAUAGAGUGACACCUGCUGGAUAAAGCCAGAAAUACAUUGCCUUGAGUCCAAAGUAGACAUAAUAUACCCUAGGUCAUGCAACACUGUCCAUCAUACAUUGCAUCUUACAUUGCUGACCCGCACUCCCUCAGAUGAGGUUUAUCCAGGGAUAGUUACCAUGAUGAAUAGCACCAUCCACUAAGUGGAAUGAAGAAAGAAAAAAAAAUGAAAAUUGAAAACAAAUUUCAGAAUCAAUACUCUCUGAGGCAACAAAAUAGCAAGUGCUAGUAGACAUCCUAGAAGCCCUACCAUAAAAUGAGUUUCAUGACUAGCCAACACGAAACCUUGUAGAUACACAUAAUGUCAUGUUGCUUUUCUAGAUAGAAAAUGUAAAAUUUCAAUUAGAACUUAGUUUCUCAUCGAAUAUCAGGAUAAAAAAAUAAAAAAAGGUAAGCAAGGUUCUAGUGUAAUUCAUCUCUCUUUUAUGGCUUAAAUAUGAAUUUAGUCCCUGUAAGUUAGCAUUUUUUCAAUUUUGAUCCUUGUAAGUUUGCACUUUUCAAUUUUAGUCCCUUUAAAAUUCCAUUUUUUUUUUCAUUUUUAGUCCCUGUAAGUUCAUGCUUUAGGGACCAAAAUUGGAAAAAACUAAAACAUAAAUAGACUAAAAAUGAACAAAAAAACUUACAGUAACUGAAUUCAUAUUUAAUCCUUCUUUUAUUUGUAAAAUGUAAUUCAAUAUAAAUUGAGACUCUGGGAUUCUUCUGUGCAUAUCAUCCAAUUCAAUCUCAUUGUCUUUACUCUUUUGAUGACAGUAUUUUCAACAAUCAGGUGCAGUACAAGCAGAAGAAAUUAUCUAAACAAUCAUCACUUAUAACCAAUGUCAUUAAAACUAUCACCAAUUAUCAUUUCUGACUUCUACAAGAGUCACUGCAGCAAUCACCCUUCACUUUCACAGAUUUUGUUUGCAACAACUUUCUGAAAGGCAUCUAGCCAAAUAUGCAACCUCAUUCUGGUCCUAAAACCUACACAUUUGUGUGUUUCAGUUUCCCAAUCCACACCCUAAACAUUCACAACAACAACAACAACAAAAGAAGAAGAACUCCUACAAACGUAAUCAAUUUCCAUCAACAAACUGAAAACCCUCCAGAAUACCAAUUCCUAGCUUCCCAUCAUUGUAAAACAGGAAAUUCUUCUAUCAAUUAUCAAUAACAUAUUCCCAAGAACACAUUCAAUAAAACACAUCCUUACCAAUGGACACACCUUUUGAACUGAACCAUAACAUAGCUAUUAGUUGUCAUGUCACCCCCACAGUUUACAUGGAUUAGUACCUACUCUUCAAGCAAUCCAACUAACCAGAAACUUUCAUACCAAAAGAGGGUUUCUACUUUCACCAACUCCCAUCAAAUAUAUGCAACACGAAAAGAAAAAGAAAAAGAAAAAAAGCAAAUAAGCAAAAAGCACUAACUUCAACAAGAAGAUGGUAAAUGCUAC
Molecule: long non-coding RNA, 1603 nt
Filed under: Glycine max (soybean)
Lineage: Eukaryota; Viridiplantae; Streptophyta; Magnoliopsida; Fabales; Fabaceae
Description: long non-coding RNA (GMAX_LNC004071)
Source: RNAcentral